RNAcentral lists this ribosomal RNA (253 nucleotides) under uncultured bacterium. Its description in RNAcentral is "partial 16S ribosomal RNA". It matches the Rfam family "Bacterial small subunit ribosomal RNA", at positions 524 to 776 of the family's 1533-position model. The record is from RNAcentral.
UACGUAGGUGGCAAGCGUUGUUCGGAAUUAUUGGGCGUAAAGGGCGCGUAGGCGGCUUGUUAAGUCAGCUGUGAAAGCCCGGGGCUCAACCCCGGAGGGUCAGCUGAUACUGGCUAGCUAGAGUACGGAAGAGGUAGCUGGAAUUCCCGGUGUAGCGGUGAAAUGCGCAGAUAUCGGGAAGAACACCCGUGGCGAAGGCGGCUCUCUGGGACGGUACUGACGCUGAGACGCGAAAGCGUGGGGAGCGAACAGG